GAUGAACGCUAGCUACAGGCUUAACACAUGCAAGUCGAGGGGCAGCAUGACGAGUGCUUGCACUUGUUGAUGGCGACCGGCGCACGGGUGCGUAACGCGUAUCGAACCUUCCCCUUACUCGGGAAUAGCCCGGUGAAAACCGAAUUAAUGCCCGAUAUAUAUUUAGAUGGCAUCAGAAGAGUAUGAAAGAUUUAUCGGUAAGGGAUGGCGAUGCGUAGGAUUAGGUAGUCGGCGGGGUAACGGCCCACCGAGCCGACGAUGUCUAGGGGAGCUGAGAGGCUUACCCCCCACACUGGUACUGAGACACGGACCAGACUCC
Molecule: ribosomal RNA, 319 nt
Filed under: uncultured Prevotella sp.
Lineage: Bacteria; Pseudomonadati; Bacteroidota; Bacteroidia; Bacteroidales; Prevotellaceae
Description: bacterial SSU rRNA
Rfam family: Bacterial small subunit ribosomal RNA
Source: RNAcentral